GGCCUCGUAGCUUAGUUGGCAGAGCAUUGGACUGGUAUCCCAAAGGUCACGGGUUCGAUUCCCACCGUGGUCA
This 73-nucleotide transfer RNA is filed under the name Paramuricea clavata. It matches the Rfam family "tRNA". Rfam says of the family: Transfer RNA (tRNA) molecules are approximately 80 nucleotides in length. Their secondary structure includes four short double-helical elements and three loops (D, anti-codon, and T loops). Lineage: Eukaryota; Metazoa; Cnidaria; Anthozoa; Malacalcyonacea; Plexauridae. The record is from Rfam by way of RNAcentral.